RNAcentral lists this long non-coding RNA (581 nucleotides) under Solanum tuberosum (potato). Its description in RNAcentral is "long non-coding RNA (STUB_LNC003547)". The record is from RNAcentral. Lineage: Eukaryota; Viridiplantae; Streptophyta; Magnoliopsida; Solanales; Solanaceae.
GUCUGAAACAGUCUUUGCAAGCUUGGUUUGGGAAGUUCCAACACUGUAAUUUUAUCACUCUGUGUUUUAUCGGCAUUAUGCAUCAAAUUCAGUAUUUCAUGAGAAGAUCAAGCACAUUGAAAUUUAUUGUCAAUUUUGUGAAGUCGAGUGAUCAACUUGAAGAUUCCUCACCAAGCUCCUCAUCGGUCCUCGUGUUAAUUACAUUUGUAACAAGCUAGGUACAUGAAUUGUAUGCACUAGCUUGAGGGGGAGUGUUAGAAUAUGAAUAGGUUUAUACAAUCCUAUUAAAAUAGGAAUAGGUUUAUACAAUCCUAUUAAAAUAGGAAUAGGUUUAUACAAUCCUAUUAAAAUAGGAAUAGGUUUAUACAAUCCUAUAAGAAUAGGAAUAGGUUUAUACAAUCCUAUUAAAAUAGGAAUAGGUUUAUACAAUCCUAUUAGAAUAGGAAUAGGAAUAGGAAUAGAAAUAGCAAUAGGAAUACUAAAUAGUAUCCUACUUGGUAAAGGAUUGUAUUCUAGGGUCUAUAAAUAGGGUCUCAAUGUAAUAAUGUAGACACAACAACAAUUCAAUAAUAUUCUUUUCC